Molecule: long non-coding RNA, 903 nt
Organism: Bos taurus (domestic cattle)
Lineage: Eukaryota; Metazoa; Chordata; Mammalia; Artiodactyla; Bovidae
Source: Ensembl
UGCCAUCUCCUCUUGAAUAACAGUGUUGUUACCACACAGGGCUGGCAUAAAGUGAAGCUAGCAACUUGCAACCUUGCUACUGUGGCUCCCAUGUCAAUUUAUUCCUAUUAAGGAUGUGUAAGAUUCUUGUUGUCACUAAGAACAUUUGUGACUAUUUACUACCAAAAGAAAUUCAAGUCUGCAAUAAAUUUGCUAUAUACAUAGUUGAGACCAUCAGAUUGCAUCAUCACCAGAACUAGCCUGGGUCUCACUUGUCUUUCUCUGCUGGGGAUGGUAGUCCAUGACAAGCAAUAAUUGUUGAAAAGAUGUAUGGAUGGAUGGAAAUGUCAAGCACGGUGUCUGACAUAUGAGAUCAGUAAGUAAAAAAAAAAAUCUGCUAACACUCUCAGUCCUUCAAAUGAGAAUCUCCACUCCAUGACACCUUAGCCAUUUAGUGGUUCCUAUGUAGGAACACUUCCAAAGAGAGCAAAGGCAAAUGAAAUUUAUUCAGGUCUGAUCAAAAACAAGCCCAUUCACACAAACAUCACAACUGAAGAUCAACCGGAAGCUCCUCCUUCAUCGUCCAUCCUGAUCCUGGCUUUGAGGUACAGGAUGCCAAGUGCAGGGACAUUAGAUGACAGAGCCAAAGCAGACUUCAUGACAAAGAAACUUCAAAUCCGUGAGCUUCAGUCAUGGGGCAGAAAUAGUCUGUGAGAACUAAAAGGGUGCGGGGGUGGGGGUGGGGGUGGGAGAGGGAAAUAUGUCGGUUGUGGGGUAGAGUCCAUAUAUUUUAGGUAAUUGCUGCUGCUGCUGCUGCUGCUGCUGCUGCUGCUGCUGCUGCUAAGUCUCUUCAGUCGUGUCCGACUCUGUGCGACCCCAUAGACGGCAGCCCACCAGGCUUCCCCCGUCCCUGGGAUUCUCCUG